This 253-nucleotide ribosomal RNA is filed under the name uncultured bacterium. Its description in RNAcentral is "partial 16S ribosomal RNA". It matches the Rfam family "Bacterial small subunit ribosomal RNA", at positions 524 to 776 of the family's 1533-position model. The record is from RNAcentral.
UACGAAGGGGGCUAGCGUUGCUCGGAAUUACUGGGCGUAAAGCGCGUGUAGGCGGACCACCAAGUCGGACGUGAAAGCCCUGAGCUCAACUCAGGAACUGCAUCCGAAACUGGCGGUCUGGAGUAGUGGAGAGGAAAGCAGAAUUCCUGGUGUAGAGGUGAAAUUCGUAGAUAUCAGGAGGAACACCGGUGGCGAAGGCGGCUUUCUGGACACUUACUGACGCUGAGACGCGAAAGCGUGGGGAGCAAACAGG